GAUGAACGCUGGCGGCACGCCUAACACAUGCAAGUCGAACGGACGAGAGGAAAGCUUGCUUUUCUCGAGUUAGUGGCAGACGGGUGAGUAACACGUGAGCAACCUGCCUUUAAGAGGGGGAUAGCUUCUGGAAACGGAUGGUAAUACCCCAUAAUAUAUCGUUAUCGCAUGAUAGUGAUAUCAAAUGAAUCUCGCUUAAAGAUGGGCUCGCGUCUGAUUAGAUAGUUGGUGAGGUAACGGCUCACCAAGUCGACGAUCAGUAGCCGGACUGAGAGGGUGAUCGGCCACACUGGAACUGAGACACGGUCCAG
RNAcentral lists this ribosomal RNA (311 nucleotides) under uncultured bacterium. RNAcentral describes it as "bacterial SSU rRNA". It matches the Rfam family "Bacterial small subunit ribosomal RNA", at positions 28 to 334 of the family's 1533-position model. The record is from RNAcentral.